RNAcentral lists this ribosomal RNA (401 nucleotides) under alpha proteobacterium SCGC AAA487-C17. RNAcentral's name for it is "bacterial SSU rRNA". It matches the Rfam family "Bacterial small subunit ribosomal RNA", at positions 354 to 772 of the family's 1533-position model. The record is from RNAcentral. Lineage: Bacteria; Pseudomonadati; Pseudomonadota; Alphaproteobacteria.
GUGGGGAAUCUUAGACAAUGGGCGCAAGCCUGAUCUAGCCAUGCCGCGUGAUCGAUGAAGGCCUUAGGGUUGUAAAGAUCUUUCGUGGGGGAAGAUAAUGACGGUACCCCAAGAAGAAGCCCCGGCUAACUCCGUGCCAGCAGCCGCGGUAAUACGGAGGGGGCUAGCGUUAUUCGGAAUUACUGGGCGUAAAGCGCACGUAGGCGGAUUGAAAAGUCAGAGGUGAAAUCCCAGAGCUCAACUUUGGAACUGCCUUUGAAACUCUCAGUCUUGAGGUCGAGAGAGGUGAGUGGAAUUCCGAGUGUAGAGGUGAAAUUCGUAGAUAUUCGGAGGAACACCAGUGGCGAAGGCGGCUCACUGGCUCGAUACUGACGCUGAGGUGCGAAAGCGUGGGGAGCAAA